UGGGGAAUAUUGGACAAUGGGCGGAAGCCUGAUCCAGCCAUGCCGCGUGUGUGAAGAAGGCCUUUUGGUUGUAAAGCACUUUAAGCGAGGAGGAGGCUACUUGGAUUAAUACUCUAGGAUAGUGGACGUUACUCGCAGAAUAAGCACCGGCUAACUCUGUGCCAGCAGCCGCGGGAAUACAGAGGGUGCGAGCGUUAAUCGGAUUUACUGGGCGUAAAGCGUGCGUAGGCGGCUUCUUAAGUCGGAUGUGAAAUCCCUGAGCUUAACUUAGGAAUUGCAUUCGAUACUGGGAAGCUAGAGUAUGGGAGAGGAUGGUAGAAUUCCAGGUGUAGCGGUGAAAUGCGUAGAGAUCUGGAGGAAUACCGAUGGCGAAGGCAGCCAUCUGGCCUAAUACUGACGCUGAGGUACGAAAGCAUGGGGAGCAAACAGG
Molecule: ribosomal RNA, 430 nt
Filed under: bacterium
Lineage: Bacteria
Description: partial 16S ribosomal RNA
Rfam family: Bacterial small subunit ribosomal RNA
Source: RNAcentral